RNAcentral lists this ribosomal RNA (253 nucleotides) under uncultured bacterium. RNAcentral's name for it is "partial 16S ribosomal RNA". It matches the Rfam family "Bacterial small subunit ribosomal RNA", at positions 524 to 776 of the family's 1533-position model. The record is from RNAcentral.
UACAGAGGUGUCAAACGUUGUCCGGAAUUAUUGGGCGUAAAGGGCGCGUAGGCGGUUGGAUAAGUCAGCUGUGAAAUCACUGGGCUCAACCCAGUAAUUGCAUUUGAUACUGUCUAGCUUGAGUUGGGUAGAGGAGGGCGGAAUUCCCGGUGUAGCGGUGAAAUGCGUAGAUAUCUGGAGGAACACCCGUGGCGAAGGCGGCUCUCUGGUCCGAAACUGACGCUGAGGUGCGAAAGCUAGGGUAGCAAACAGG